Molecule: non-coding RNA, 64 nt
Filed under: Streptomyces tsukubensis
Lineage: Bacteria; Bacillati; Actinomycetota; Actinomycetes; Kitasatosporales; Streptomycetaceae
Description: Streptomyces tsukubaensis Streptomyces RNA 2736
Rfam family: Streptomyces RNA 2736
About the family: Identified by deep sequencing of transcriptome at the end of exponential growth phase. Appears smaller on northern blot than sequencing transcript.
Source: Rfam by way of RNAcentral
CGCCCGGCCGGAUCCCGUGGGGGGAAUCCGUCCCGGGGCAAAGGGAAGCGCCCCGACCAUCGGC